GCUUGCGCAUGCUCCCUGGCCCUCCGUGCUCCGUUCAGGGGUGAAACAGCAUACACCACAAGGGUUACAUGACCGAGCAAGCUGCUCGCCCCACACAGUAGCAGAAGGAAGAGGAAGAGAAUGGGACUGCGGCUCUGUCAUCCCCUCACCGACACAUGUUCCCAAAGGCCAUGGACUCGGGUAUCUCCCAUCCUCUCCAGGAGCAGGCUUAGUCCUUCCAUUCCUUAGUGAAUGGAAGACGCUGCGACCUCAGACUCAGGGGCUGUGGACGGCCCACUCAGUCGUGUCGGGGAACCUGAGCCUCCUGCUGGUGAGUGUCUGGAACUCUUGCCUGCUGUCCUUCCUGUCCAACCUCUGAGCGUCUCUCCAUGGAACAGGCCUCCGUCUCGCCAGAUUGUUCUGUGGCCCAGGCUGCCAGCAGGUCAGAGUCCGUCCUGGACCGGGCGGUCACUGGGAUUGCUUCAAGCCUCCCCUCAAGGGCUUCGUGUUACAUUUUCAAGCUACCUCCUCAGGAGUAAAUGAGGCAAGCAAGUUACAUUCAAAUGGAGGAGGACAAGGAGAGAAUAAAGAGCUUUUGCUGCGCUGGCUAGCCUUAAAUUUACCUCAAAAUAACCAAUGUGCUAAAGUGACGGCCUCUUCUGACGGUAUCUGGUAAGCGCCUCCUCCAAGGGGACUGCUCCACACUCUAGGAGGCUGCUAGUCCCAGGGGACUUCACAAUGCUUUUAUCAGCCUCCACCCUAAGAGGCAAGCAAGAGCGGAUGAAUGAAGACUCCCCUAAGACGCUUUGCGUCUCCCCCUCUCUGGCUCUGAGAACGCUGCUAAUGGGACCUUGCUAUAGUUGAGUUCUCGAAUGUCUCCCGAAGACCUGAGUGGUGGAUUCCAUUAUAGUGACCAAAGCUGACUGACAGCAUGGCUCUCCUUCAGCCCUUCCCGCCUCCCCUCAGGCUCAGCAGCUCCCCACCCUGAGGACAUCCACCGUUCCUAUCUUGCAUCUAGGUGACUCCAGCUCGUGUCAAGUUGACUGAAAACUAUCCAGCACAGCCCAGUUUGUUCAUCUCCAGGACCCUGACACGAAGUUACUUUUAGUAGCCGGCCAGCGUCAAGCAUAGCUAAGUGGUCUAGAACAAGUUUUCCAGAGAAAAAGGGAUUUCUUGACAACGAUCUU
This is a long non-coding RNA of Mesocricetus auratus (golden hamster), 1166 nucleotides long. RefSeq lists it as uncharacterized. NCBI's taxonomy places the organism in Eukaryota, Metazoa, Chordata, Mammalia, Rodentia, Cricetidae. The transcript has 7 exons. The record is from RefSeq and is a predicted model, not a curated record.